GGAGAUCGUGCCCGAUCCGGUCGCCCGCGGCGAGCCCGCAACCUUCAAGAUCUCCGCUUCCACUGAUAAAACUAUCGGUAAAGGGAAGCUGGUUAUUGAUGUGAAAUACUUCUUCUUCUAUGUCCACUCGGAAACUCGUGAGCUCUGUGAUGUGACUUCCUGCCCGGCAAGUGGUGACUUCUUGGUAGCUCAUCAGCAAACCCUGCC
RNAcentral lists this unclassified non-coding RNA (207 nucleotides) under Hevea brasiliensis (rubber tree). Lineage: Eukaryota; Viridiplantae; Streptophyta; Magnoliopsida; Malpighiales; Euphorbiaceae. The record is from RNAcentral.